This 116-nucleotide ribosomal RNA is filed under the name Amphilophus citrinellus (Midas cichlid). Lineage: Eukaryota; Metazoa; Chordata; Actinopteri; Cichliformes; Cichlidae. The record is from RNAcentral.
CUCAAAGAUUGCGAGCUGCACGGGCCUGCUCUCCUUUGAUCUCAGAAGCUAAGCAGGGUCAGGCCUGGUUAGUAUUGUAUGGGGGACUACCUGGGAACACUAGGUGCUGUUUGGGU